RNAcentral lists this ribosomal RNA (468 nucleotides) under uncultured bacterium. Its description in RNAcentral is "partial 16S ribosomal RNA". It matches the Rfam family "Bacterial small subunit ribosomal RNA", at positions 28 to 507 of the family's 1533-position model. The record is from RNAcentral.
GACGAACGCUGGCGGCGUGCUUAACACAUGCAAGUCGAACGGAAAGGCCCUGCUUUUGUGGGGUGCUCGAGUGGCGAACGGGUGAGUAACACGUGAGUAACCUGCCCUUGACUUUGGGAUAACUUCAGGAAACUGGGGCUAAUACCGGAUAGGAUCUCCUGCUGCAUGGUGGGGGUUGGAAAGUUUCGGCGGUUGGGGAUGGACUCGCGGCUUAUCAGCUUGUUGGUGGGGUAGUGGCUUACCAAGGCUUUGACGGGUCGCCGGCCUGAGAGGGUGACCGGCCACAUUGGGACUGAGAUACGGCCCAGACUCCUACGGGAGGCAGCAGUGGGGAAUAUUGCACAAUGGGCGGAAGCCUGAUGCAGCAACGCCGCGUGCGGGAUGACGGCCUUCGGGUUGUAAACCGCUUUCGCCUGUGACGAAGCGUGAGUGACGGUAAUGGGUAAAGAAGCACCGGCUAACUACGUG